Molecule: transfer RNA, 50 nt
Filed under: Ampithoe lacertosa
Lineage: Eukaryota; Metazoa; Arthropoda; Malacostraca; Amphipoda; Ampithoidae
Description: tRNA-Ser
Source: RNAcentral
AGAGUGAUAAAUAAGAUUUCUAAUCUUUAAAAAGCAAAAGCUACACUCUA